GACGAACGCUGGCGGCGUGCUUAACACAUGCAAGUCGAGCGGUAAGGCCCUUUCGGGGGUACACGAGCGGCGAACGGGUGAGUAACACGUGGGUGACCUGCCCUCAGCUCUGGGAUAAGCCCGGGAAACUGGGUCUAGUACCGGAUAUGACUCCAUGACGCAUGUUGUGGGGUGGAAAGCCUUGUGCGGCUGAGGAUGGGCCCGCGGCCUAUCAGCUUGUUGGUGGGGUGAUGGCCUACCAAGGCGACGACGGGUAGCCGGCCUGAGAGGGCGACCGGCCACACUGGGACUGAGACACGGCUCAGACUCCUACGGGAGGCAGCAGUGGGGAAUCUUGCGCAAUGGGCGAAAGCCUGACGCAGCGACGCCGCGUGAGGGAUGACGGCCUGGUUGUAA
This 396-nucleotide ribosomal RNA is filed under the name uncultured bacterium. Its description in RNAcentral is "bacterial SSU rRNA". It matches the Rfam family "Bacterial small subunit ribosomal RNA", at positions 28 to 428 of the family's 1533-position model. The record is from RNAcentral.